GACGAACGCUGGCGGCGUGCCUAAUACAUGCAAGUAGAACGCUGAAGGAGGAGCUUGCUUCUCUGGAUGAGUUGCGAACGGGUGAGUAACGCGUAGGUAACCUGCCUGGUAGCGGGGGAUAACUAUUGGAAACGAUAGCUAAUACCGCAUAAGAGUAGAUGUCGCAUGACAUUUGCUUAAAAGGUGCAAUUGCAUCACUACCAGAUGGACCUGCGUUGUAUUAGCUAGUUGGUGAGGUAACGGCUCACCAAGGCAACGAUACAUAGCCGACCUGAGAGGGUGAUCGGCCACACUGGGACUGAGACACGGCCCAGACUCCUACGGGAGGCAGCAGUAGGGAAUCUUCGGCAGUGGACGGAAGUCUGACCGAGCAACGCCGCGUGAGUGAAGAAGGUUUUCGGAUCGUAAAGCUCUGUUGUAAGAGAAGAACGAGUGUGAGAGUGGAAAGUUCACACUGACGGUAUCUUACCAGAAAGGGACGGCUAACUACGUG
This 493-nucleotide ribosomal RNA is filed under the name uncultured bacterium. RNAcentral describes it as "partial 16S ribosomal RNA". It matches the Rfam family "Bacterial small subunit ribosomal RNA", at positions 28 to 507 of the family's 1533-position model. The record is from RNAcentral.